RNAcentral lists this long non-coding RNA (691 nucleotides) under Brachypodium distachyon (stiff brome). RNAcentral's name for it is "long non-coding RNA (BDIS_LNC005577)". Lineage: Eukaryota; Viridiplantae; Streptophyta; Magnoliopsida; Poales; Poaceae. The record is from RNAcentral.
GACAAUUUUUGGCGUGAAAAGUUUGACUUCGAGGUAGUCGACUGGCCUUCACAGUACCACGUGGUACAAAGCCGAGUCGCGUUGGCUCGCUUCAUGGCGGUCCUGCAUUACACUUAUCUCAAGCUCAAAAUGCCAGGGCCCAAUGGCGUGAUCACCGUUUCAGGAAAUUUCACGCAAUCAGACAUCUGCGACAUGAAGCAUGGCAACUAGACCGAUGCUAUCCCGUGACCGCGAUGAGUGCUUUUCACCACGGCCAUCCUCCACGUCUCUUGUUGACAAUGCCACGGCAACGGUACAAAACAAUCCUUCUAAUACAAAUAAAAUUGUGUGUACCUUUCUUUGAGGGGAAAAAAUGAUGCUGAAACGUAUAUAGAUUGGGAGCUAGGUUUAAGUGAACAAUUCACAUGCUUCCAUGUACUUGAUAGUCGCAAGGUUCAAAUUGAUAGUAGUAAAUUUACUUUUGCUGCUUUAUCUUAGUGGAAUGAGAUAGAGAAAAAAAAAUUCCCCACACACGGGUUGAUAUGAAAAAAAUAAUGAGAGAAAAAUAUGUCCCUUUUAGUUAUGUUUUUAACUUGCGUUCAAAAUUACGACGUUUGACACAAGAUGAUAAAACUGUUGAUGAUUACUACAAUGAGUUCCAAAUUAUAACCUUGCGAUCUGUUUAGAUGAAACCGAACAAAGAAAAAUGGAU